RNAcentral lists this ribosomal RNA (450 nucleotides) under Triticum aestivum (bread wheat). RNAcentral's name for it is "partial small subunit ribosomal RNA". The record is from RNAcentral. Lineage: Eukaryota; Viridiplantae; Streptophyta; Magnoliopsida; Poales; Poaceae.
AUGGCCAUUAUGAGCCGCUCCAUCGCCAGCGCCCCCAUGGCACGUCCCCUCUGUUUCGGUUCCGUGAAGCGCGACGCAGAUGCAUCGACUCCCAUGUCGGCGGAAGGCGAAUGUUCAUCCCAGUCCCGGCAUCAGGAUCAAGAUUCAGAAGCAGGCGGGAAAAGGAUGAAAUACUCAUCAGGGCCAGAUCUUCCAGAGGUUGCCAUUACACCGGUUAUUGAAGAACUCAGUUUUCAGUUGUCUUCAGCAUUGGCAACAUACCGCUUCCCGUGCUCACUUUUAUCUGAUCUGAGUGGGAACUCAAUUCGGCAUCUACACCUUGCGGGUUGCGCCUUUGGUCCCGCGGCCAAACUCAGCUGCUUGAGAAGCCUUACACAGCUUCACCUGUAUCAUGUGGGCAUCAAGGAGGAUGAAUUAGGUUGCCUUCUUUCCAGUUGUCCUGUUUUGUAG